Danionella cerebrum is the source of this 71-nucleotide non-coding RNA. The record is from the annotation of a GenBank genome assembly. NCBI's taxonomy places the organism in Eukaryota, Metazoa, Chordata, Actinopteri, Cypriniformes, Danionidae.
GGGGUUGAGCUCAAAGGAAACGCACUUGCUUUGCAAGAUUGAGGUCCUGGGAUCAAUCCCCAGCAUCUUCC